RNAcentral lists this ribosomal RNA (253 nucleotides) under uncultured bacterium. RNAcentral describes it as "partial 16S ribosomal RNA". It matches the Rfam family "Bacterial small subunit ribosomal RNA", at positions 524 to 776 of the family's 1533-position model. The record is from RNAcentral.
UACGUAGGGGGCAAGCGUUGUCCGGAUUUACUGGGCGUAAAGAGCGCGUAGGCGGCCCGGUAAGUCCGCUGUGAAAGUCAGGGGCUCAACCCUUGGAAGCCGGUGGAUACUGUCGGGCUAGAGUCCGGAAGAGGCGAGUGGAAUUCCUGGUGUAGCGGUGGAAUGCGCAGAUAUCAGGAGGAACACCUAUAGCGAAGGCAGCUUGCUGGGACGUUACUGACGCUAAGGCGCGAAAGCGUGGGGAGCGAACAGG